UACGUAGGCAGCGAGCGUUGUUCGGAAUUACUGGGCGUAAAGCGUGCGCAGGCGGUUGUGUAAGACAGAUGUGAAAUCCCCGGGCUCAACCUGGGAACUGCAUUUGUGACUGCAUCGCUAGAGUACGGCAGAGGGGGAUGGAAUUCCGCGUGUAGCAGUGAAAUGCGUAGAUAUGCGGAGGAACACCGAUGGCGAAGGCAAUCCCCUGGGCCUGUACUGACGCUCAUGCACGAAAGCGUGGGGAGCAAACAGG
Molecule: ribosomal RNA, 253 nt
Filed under: uncultured prokaryote
Description: partial 16S ribosomal RNA
Rfam family: Bacterial small subunit ribosomal RNA
Source: RNAcentral